This 497-nucleotide ribosomal RNA is filed under the name uncultured bacterium. RNAcentral's name for it is "partial 16S ribosomal RNA". It matches the Rfam family "Bacterial small subunit ribosomal RNA", at positions 28 to 507 of the family's 1533-position model. The record is from RNAcentral.
GAUGAACGCUGGCGGCGUGCCUAAUACAUGCAAGUCGAGCGAACAGAUUAGGAUUUUGCCCCUCUGACGUUUGCGUCGGACGUGUGAGUAACACGUGGAUUACCUACUUGUAAGACUGGGAUAACUUCGGGAAACCGGAGCUAAAACCGUUGAAUAUAUUGCACCGCAGGGCUCAAUAGUGAGAUACGGUUUUGCUAUCACUGAUGGAAUGAUCCGCGCCGGAUUAGAUAGUGGGUAAGGGAACGGCUUACGAAGGCAACGAUGCGUAGCCGACCUGAGAGGGUGAUCGGCCACACUGGAACUGAGACACGGCCCAGACUCCUACGGGAGGAAGCAGUAGAGACUCUUACGCAAUGGGCGAAAGCCUGACGGAGCAAAGCCGCGUGAGUGAUGAAGGUCUUCGGAUCGUAAAACUCUGUUAUUAGGGAAGAACAAAUGUGUAAGUAACUAUGCACGUCUUGACGGUACCUAAUCAGAAAGCCACGGCUAACUACGUG